GGGCCGCUAGCUCAAUGGCAGAGCUGCUGACUUUUAAUCAGUAGGUUCGGGGUUCGAGCCCCCGGCGGCCCAC
This 73-nucleotide transfer RNA is filed under the name Micromonospora sonchi. RNAcentral describes it as "tRNA-Lys". It matches the Rfam family "tRNA". From Rfam's summary of the family: Transfer RNA (tRNA) molecules are approximately 80 nucleotides in length. Their secondary structure includes four short double-helical elements and three loops (D, anti-codon, and T loops). Lineage: Bacteria; Bacillati; Actinomycetota; Actinomycetes; Micromonosporales; Micromonosporaceae. The record is from RNAcentral.